GCAGAUCUGGUCCUCUGACUGAGAAGUAGUCACAGUGAGCACUCCCAUCUGAAUGAAAAAGGAACAAAAUGCCAAUUGAUUUGCAUGGGAUGCAAAUUGACAUUGUGUCUUCUUAUGUUCAUAUGUUUGAAAAACUGUUCUGUUUUAUGGACCAUCUUCAACCACAGAAUUCAGGGCAACAGUUCUUUGAAUACCUUCAAAUUUUUCCCCCAUCCUCUUGAAGAGGGGGACUGAGAGAGCAGCUGGUUGGGCAUCUAGCAACUGGUGAAGGUCAACUCACGACACAGAGAGAAACAUCUGCCUUGAAGAACGUGAGUCUCCAGUGCUGGGAAAAUGUGAACAAUUGUGCUACAAAGGCAAUACUAGACCAGGAGAGGGAAAAAGGCUGUAAGUAUACUUAUCAUCUCCAAAAUAGUCUCUUUGAUUGAAACACCUAAAAUUUGAUUAAACAUUAAGUAAACAAAGAAUGCAAUGCUCUUUGGAGAACAUAUGUUACAAAUAGAAUUGAAUGCAAAAGGAAGCUAGUUCAUCUACCAAGUGGAAAAAUGCAGGUGGUUUUGAAGAAGAAACAAAGGUACAAGUUAGAGAAGUUUAUAAAAGGAUUA
Long non-coding RNA from Harpia harpyja (harpy eagle), 605 nucleotides. RefSeq lists it as uncharacterized. NCBI's taxonomy places the organism in Eukaryota, Metazoa, Chordata, Aves, Accipitriformes, Accipitridae. The record is from RefSeq and is a predicted model, not a curated record. The transcript has 3 exons.